Molecule: transfer RNA, 87 nt
Filed under: Thiocystis violacea
Lineage: Bacteria; Pseudomonadati; Pseudomonadota; Gammaproteobacteria; Chromatiales; Chromatiaceae
Also listed under: 2 other names
Description: tRNA-Leu
Rfam family: tRNA
About the family: Transfer RNA (tRNA) molecules are approximately 80 nucleotides in length.
Source: RNAcentral
GCCGAGGUGGCGGAAUUGGUAGACGCGCAUGGUUCAGGUCCAUGUGAACGAAAGUUCGUGGAGGUUCGAGUCCUCUUCUCGGCACCA